GGGCGAGUGGCGGAAUUGGUAGACGCGCUAGAUUCAGGGUCUAGUGGACACAUUUUGUCCGUGGAGGUUCAAGUCCUCUCUCGCCCACCA
RNAcentral lists this transfer RNA (90 nucleotides) under Candidatus Saccharimonadota bacterium. RNAcentral's name for it is "tRNA-Leu". It matches the Rfam family "tRNA". Rfam says of the family: Transfer RNA (tRNA) molecules are approximately 80 nucleotides in length. Lineage: Bacteria; Candidatus Saccharimonadota. The record is from RNAcentral.